GGCUUCUGGUCCAACUCUCUCAUUUUCCAUUUUAAAAAACAGCUAUCUGACAUCCAUUUGUACUCCAGUAACACACUUCCUAUUAUUGUAAUCACCUAUUGGCUUUUAGAUAUUCAAAUUGCAUAUCCAGACAAAUUCCUUCAUACUCAUAUGGUGAACAGAAUUAUUUACAACCUGAUAGAGGAGUAGGAAGGAUUUUGUUCAACCUACUCACCAUAAUUUGUUUCAUCUCGGAAAUAAGGAAGCAAGGUCAGUGAAUCAGUCUUAUAAGUGAAAGGAAAGGAGU
Molecule: long non-coding RNA, 286 nt
Filed under: Elaeis guineensis (African oil palm)
Lineage: Eukaryota; Viridiplantae; Streptophyta; Magnoliopsida; Arecales; Arecaceae
Description: long non-coding RNA (EGUI_LNC006242)
Source: RNAcentral